RNAcentral lists this ribosomal RNA (1032 nucleotides) under Tephritis bardanae. RNAcentral describes it as "partial 16S ribosomal RNA". Lineage: Eukaryota; Metazoa; Arthropoda; Insecta; Diptera; Tephritidae. The record is from RNAcentral.
UUGAAAAAUUUUUAAAAAAAAAGAAAAAUUAAUUAUUUGUACCUUGUGUAUCAGGGUUUAUUAAAUAAUUAAUAAAAAUAUUUAUUAAUCUCGAUUUUAUAAGAGUUAAUAAUUUAAUAAAGUUAAUGUAUUAAAAUUAUUUUUUAUAAAUUAUUAGAAAUGAAAUGUUAUUCGUUUAUAAAGGUAUCUAGUUUUUUUAGAAAUAAAUUAAAUUUAUAAAUUUUUGAUUUUAUUAAUUAUUUUAUUAAUUAAUAAAUUUAUUAAUUUUAAUAUUUAAGGGGAUAAGCUUUUAAAUAAAUUAUUAUAAAUUUAAUUAAGUAAUUAUUUAAAAAUAUAUGCAUAGAAUUAGCAAUUAUUGUAAAAUUUGUUAUAAGUUAUUUUAUUUAUAUAUAUUAUUUAUUUAUUUUUUAAUUUAAUUUUAUAAAAAUAUUUUUUUUAAUUUAAUUUAAAAAGUAAUAAUGAUAAAAUUAGUAUAUAUAUAUGUAAAAAUAAUUUUAUUUGAUAAGUUUAUAUAAAGAACUCGGCAAAUAUUUUACUCGCCUGUUUAACAAAAACAUGUCUUUUUGAGUUAUUUUUAAAGUCUAACCUGCCCAAUGAAUAAUUUUUAAUGGCCGCAGUAAUUUGACUGUGCAAAGGUAGCAUAAUAAUUAGUCUUUUAAUUGAAGGCUUGUAUGAAUGGUUGGACGAAGUAUAAUCUGUUUCAUUUAAAUUUAAUAUAGAAUUUAAUAUUUUAGUAAAAAAGCUAAAAUUUUUUUAAAAGACGAGAAGACCCUAUAAAUCUUUAUAAUCUGAAAUUUAAAUUUUUUUUUGAUUUAAUUUAAUUUUAAUAAUUCAGAUUAUUUUAUUGGGGUGAUAUUAAAAUUUAAAUAACUUUUAAUUUAAUUUUUUCAUUAAUUUAUGAUUUAUUGAUCCAUUAAUAAUGAUUAUAAGAAUAAGUUACUUUAGGGAUAACAGCGUAAUUUUUUUGGAGAGUUCUUAUUGAUAAAAAAGUUUGCGACCUCGAUGUUGGAUUAAGAUAUAAUUUUAGGUGUA